UUUGAUGUUCUAACGUGGACCCGUAAUCCGGGUUGCGGACAGUGUCUGGUGGGUAGUUUGACUGGGGCGGUCUCCUCCUAAAGAGUAACGGAGGAGCACGAAGGUUGGCUAAUCCUGGUCGGACAUCAGGAGGUUAGUGCAAUGGCAUAAGCCAGCUUGACUGCGAGCGUGACGGCGCGAGCAGGUGCGAAAGCAGGUCAUAGUGAUCCGGUGGUUCUGAAUGGAAGGGCCAUCGCUCAACGGAUAAAAGGUACUCCGGGGAUAACAGGCUGAUACCGCCCAAGAGUUCAUAUCGACGGCGGUGUUUGGCACCUCGAUGUCGGCUCAUCACAUCCUGGGGCUGAAGUAGGUCCCAAGGGUAUGGCUGUUCGCCAUUUAAAGUGGUACGCGAGCUGGGUUUAGAACGUCGUGAGACAGUUCGGUCCCUAUCUGCCGUGGGCGCUGGAGAACUGAGGGGGGCUGCUCCUAGUACGAGAGGACCGGAGUGGACGCAUCACUGGUGUUCGGGUUGUCAUGCCAAUGGCACUGCCCGGUAGCUAAAUGCGGAAGAGAUAAGUGCUGAAAGCAUCUAAGCACGAAACUUGCCCCGAGAUGAGUUCUCCCUGACUCCUUGAGAGUCCUGAAGGAACGUUGAAG
This 636-nucleotide ribosomal RNA is filed under the name Escherichia coli. RNAcentral describes it as "partial 23S ribosomal RNA". It matches the Rfam family "Bacterial large subunit ribosomal RNA", at positions 2213 to 2843 of the family's 2925-position model. The record is from RNAcentral. Lineage: Bacteria; Pseudomonadati; Pseudomonadota; Gammaproteobacteria; Enterobacterales; Enterobacteriaceae.